RNAcentral lists this small RNA (28 nucleotides) under Bombyx mori (domestic silkworm). Its description in RNAcentral is "ovarian small RNA-36178". Lineage: Eukaryota; Metazoa; Arthropoda; Insecta; Lepidoptera; Bombycidae. The record is from RNAcentral.
UGUUGGUAACAGCCCCUCCUAACCCUGA